AUUAAUGGGAAGCACUGGGUUUUGGAGAAGAGUUCUUGGAGUCGACUCCGGAGGAUGUGAAAUUGUGAAAUGAUGCAGUGUUGGUUUAGGCUUUAUCUUAUUGAGAUUGAUUCGACCUGCAUAUAUUAGACUCGACCAAAAUAAUUAAUAAUAAUAAAAAGAAUCAAACUUGAAUUAUUUCUAACACUUUAUUAAAAUGCACUGAUGAAAGGGAACAUAUUUUCUUAUUUUUAAAUUUAAAAUAUAUGCAUUAAAAUGAUGAUAAGUGGUAUGAGAAAGGGGUUAAUUUAUGCAUUAUUUAGCACUUAUCACAUCCCCCAAUCUAUAUUUUGCUAGUCCUUGAGCAGAAAUCGCGAUUGCAUUUACCGUAUGCAAUAAGGCUUUAAACCCCUAGGUGGCCCUAGUGGACGAGUUUUAUCUCGUGAGGGU
This 429-nucleotide long non-coding RNA is filed under the name Phoenix dactylifera (date palm). Its description in RNAcentral is "long non-coding RNA (PDAC_LNC011913)". The record is from RNAcentral. Lineage: Eukaryota; Viridiplantae; Streptophyta; Magnoliopsida; Arecales; Arecaceae.